Molecule: ribosomal RNA, 483 nt
Filed under: uncultured bacterium
Lineage: Bacteria
Description: partial 16S ribosomal RNA
Rfam family: Bacterial small subunit ribosomal RNA
Source: RNAcentral
GACGAACGCUGGCGGCGUGCCUAACACAUGCAAGUCGAGCAGGGAUUUAAGUGGAAGUUCUUCGGAAUGGAGAUUUAAAUUCUAGCGGCGGACGGGUGAGUAACGCGUGAACAAUCUGUCCCGGACAGGGGGAUAACACUUGGAAACAGGUGCUAAUACCGCAUAAGACCACGGCCUCGCAUGGGGCUGAGGUAAAAGGAGCAAUCCGGUUCGGGGUGAGUUCGCGUCCGAUUAGCUAGUUGGUGAGGUAACGGCCCACCAAGGCGACGAUCGGUAGCCGGCCUGAGAGGGUGAACGGCCACAUUGGAACUGAGAGACGGUCCAAACUCCUACGGGAGGCAGCAGUGGGGAAUAUUGGGCAAUGGGCGAAAGCCUGACCCAGCAACGCCGCGUGAGGGAAGAAGGUUUUCGGAUUGUAAACCUCUGUCCUAUGGGACGAAGGAAGUGACGGUACCAUAGGAGGAAGCCCCGGCUAACUACGUG